GCGAAUCUCGAAAGCCGGUCUCAGUCGGAUUGGAGGCUGAAACUCGCCUCCAUGAAGUUGGAUUCGCUAGUAAUCGCGCAUCAGCCAUGGCGCGGUGAAUACGUUCCCGGGCCUUGUACACACCGCCCGUCAAGCCAUGGGAGUUGGGGGUGCCUGAAGUACGUGACCGCAAGGAGCGUCCUAGGGCAAAACCGAUGACUGGGGCUAAGUCGUAACAAGGUACC
Molecule: ribosomal RNA, 224 nt
Filed under: uncultured bacterium
Lineage: Bacteria
Description: partial 16S ribosomal RNA
Rfam family: Bacterial small subunit ribosomal RNA
Source: RNAcentral